UUGUAGAGCCUGAAUCUGAAGAUGAGAAUGUGGAGGAACAACAGUUUGAGGAUGAGCAUGAAGUGGACAUAGGGCAACAGGCGUCUGAACACGAAGAUGAGCAGGAAGUCGAAGAUGAGAUGGAAGUUGCUGAUGAUGUGGAAGAUGAGAUGGAAGUUGCUGAUGAUGUGGAAGAUGAGAUGGAAGUUGCUGAAGAACAAACACCACCACCACCAGAAAAAAAAUCACGUAAAAAGAAUCCGAGAACAACACAAGGAAGAAACCCAC
Molecule: long non-coding RNA, 267 nt
Filed under: Trifolium pratense (red clover)
Lineage: Eukaryota; Viridiplantae; Streptophyta; Magnoliopsida; Fabales; Fabaceae
Description: long non-coding RNA (TPRA_LNC012903)
Source: RNAcentral